GAUAAACGCUGGCGGCGUGCCUAAUGCAUGCAAGUCGCACGGAGCGCUCUUUCGGGGGUGCUGAGUGGCGAACGGGUGAGGAACGCGUGGACAACCUACCCCGGCGUGGGGGAGUACCCGCCAGAAAUGGCGGCUAAUACCGCGUACGGUUCUCUGGCGAGGGGCGUGGGGAAAGGAAAGCCGUGAGGCGCGCUGGGAGGGGUCUGCGGCCGAUUAGCUGGUUGGCGGGGUAAUGGCUCACCAAGGCGAUGAUCGGUAGCUGGUCUGAGAGGAUGAUCAGCCACACGGGGACUGAGACACCGGCCCCGACUCCUACGGGAGGCAGCAGCAAGGAAUUUUCCGCAAUGGGGCAACCCCUGACGGAGCAACGCCGCGUGACGGAUGACGCCUCUUGGGGUGUAAACGUCUUUUGCCGAGGGAGAGUAUGGACGGUACUCGCGAAUCAGGACCGGCUAACUACGUGCCAGCAGCCG
Molecule: ribosomal RNA, 473 nt
Filed under: uncultured bacterium
Lineage: Bacteria
Description: bacterial SSU rRNA
Rfam family: Bacterial small subunit ribosomal RNA
Source: RNAcentral